UACGUAGGGCGCGAGCGUUGUCCGGAUUUAUUGGGCGUAAAGAGCUCGUAGGCGGCUCAUUGCGUCAAUCGUGAAAUCCUGUGGCUCAACUACAGGCUUGCGGUUGAUACGGGUGGGCUGGAGUUCGGUAGGGGAGACUGGAAUUCCUGGUGUAGCGGUGAAAUGCGCAGAUAUCAGGAGGAACACCGGUGGCGAAGGCGGGUCUCUGGGCCGAUACUGACGCUGAGGAGCGAAAGCGUGGGGAGCGAACAGG
RNAcentral lists this ribosomal RNA (253 nucleotides) under uncultured bacterium. RNAcentral's name for it is "partial 16S ribosomal RNA". It matches the Rfam family "Bacterial small subunit ribosomal RNA", at positions 524 to 776 of the family's 1533-position model. The record is from RNAcentral.